RNAcentral lists this non-coding RNA (146 nucleotides) under Nomascus leucogenys (northern white-cheeked gibbon). The record is from Rfam by way of RNAcentral. Lineage: Eukaryota; Metazoa; Chordata; Mammalia; Primates; Hylobatidae.
GUCAGGUGUGGUGGCACAUGCCUGUAUUCCCAGCUACUCAGGAGGCUGAGGCAGGAGGAUCACUUGAGCCCAGGAGUUUGGGGCUGCAGUGAGCUAUGAUUGCACCACUGCACUCCAGCCUGGGCAACACAGUGAGACCCUGUCAU